This is an RNA transcript of Neltuma alba, 1102 nucleotides long. It is a transcript of the gene named chromatin remodeling protein EBS, with no coding region annotated. The transcript is spliced from 5 exons. The record is from RefSeq and is a predicted model, not a curated record. NCBI's taxonomy places the organism in Eukaryota, Viridiplantae, Streptophyta, Magnoliopsida, Fabales, Fabaceae.
GAACCUUAAGACCGUAUUGUAUCGAUUCUCGAAUCACUGGUGAGCUCAGGCAAAGCGUCACCCUUACUCGUUCCUCUCAUACAGCAGAAAGUCCUCAGCUUCAACCUUAGGGUUCCUCUGUUCUUCUUCUCGCCAAAAUCUUAGGGCUUACAAUUCAUACAUUUCCAAUCUUAUGGCGAAAACGAGGCCGGGUAGAAAGGACUUGGACUCAUAUACCAUCAGAGGCACCAACAAGAUCGUCAGAGCUGGAGACUGUGUACUGAUGCGGCCUUCCGACACCAGCAAGCCUCCGUACGUGGCUCGCGUGGAGAAGAUCGAACAAGAUAACAGGAACAACGUUAAAGUCCGCGUCAGAUGGUAUUAUCGGCCGGAAGAGUCGAUUGGAGGACGCAGGCAAUUCCAUGGAGCGAAAGAGCUGUUCUUGUCGGACCAUUAUGACGUCCAGAGUGCUCACACCAUUGAAGGGAAGUGUAUUGUACACUCUUUCAAGAACUACACUAAGCUUGAGAAUGUAGGAGCAGAAGAUUACUACUGUAGAUUCGAAUACAAGGCUGCUACCGGUGCUUUCACGCCGGACCGUGUUGCUGUGUAUUGCAAAUGCGAGAUGCCUUAUAAUCCAGACGACCUCAUGGUGCAAUGUGAGGGGUGCAAGGAUUGGUUUCUUGCAGGUAUCAUCCUGCUUGUGUGGGCAUGACUAUUGAAGAGGCAAAAAAACUGGACCAUUUUGUAUGUUCUGAAUGUUCUUCUGAUGAUGACAUGAAAAAGCCUCAAGCUACAUUUUCUGCAUCACCAACAUCCGAUGGCAAGGUGGAGCCCAAGCGGCGGAAGAGAUAGCCGUUGUAGGGACAAGACUGUGAAAAGACGUGACUGCUGCUGUUGUGUGUUGUAAAGCUUCGAGCAGAGGCUACGAAACAUGUUAUGUAUUUGACUCUCUCUUAUGUAUGUAUCUGUGUUUAGUAGAUCCCAUGACAUUUGAAGAUAUGUUUCCCUUUCUGUCCAGAAAGCGAUCAUUUCUCUGAGAUAACAUUAAACCUAUUGGCGUAACAAGAAAUUGCCACCCCCAGUUUUAAAUUUAUUGUUUCUUGUGUGUCCAUUGGCUUUU